GUAUGUGAUCGUCUCUCGCAUAUCAAUAAGCGGAGGAAAAGAAACUAACAAGGAUUCCCCUAGUAACGGCGAGUGAAGCGGGAAGAGCUCAAAUUUGAAAUCUUAAAGGGUUUCCCUUUACGAAUUGUAGUUUAAAGAAGUGUUUUCUGUUGAGGUUUUGGUAAAAGUUCUUUGGAAUAGGACAUCAUAGAGGGUGAGAAUCCCGUAUUUGACCUUUACUUUCAACUUUGUGAUACACUUUCAAAGAGUCGGAUUGUUUGGGAAUGCAGUCCAAAAUGGGUGGUAAAUUUCAUCUAAAGCUAAAUAUUGGCGAGAGACCGAUAGCGAACAAGUACCGUGAGGGAAAGAUGAAAAGAACUUUGAAAAGAGAGUUAAACAGCACGUGAAAUUGUCAAAAGGGAAGCGUUUGACACCAGUGUUGUUUUUCUGAAAAUCAAUUAAAGAACUGUUUAUGCUAAGUUGUUUAGACUUUAUCAGCUAACUGUUUAGUUUUGAGCUUUUCUUUAAUGCACUUUUCAGUUAACAAGUCAACAUCAAUUUCUUUUGCUGUAAAAAAGCUUGAGGAAGGUGGCUUGAGAUUCGUCUUAAGUGUUUAUAGCCUCUUGCCUAUGCAGUCGGAGAGAUUGAGGUCUGCAGCGUAGAUCCCUCGGGGCUAAAUGCAUUUGUGCUAAGUUAUAGCAUUUUAUAGACAACUUGUUGACUAUGAUUUGUCUUGUAGCUUACUCGCUUAUGUUAUUUUACCUACGCUUAGGAUGUUGAUCUACAGAGCGAGAGU
Molecule: ribosomal RNA, 775 nt
Filed under: uncultured Neocallimastigales
Lineage: Eukaryota; Fungi; Neocallimastigomycota; Neocallimastigomycetes; Neocallimastigales
Description: partial large subunit ribosomal RNA
Rfam family: Eukaryotic large subunit ribosomal RNA
Source: RNAcentral